UACAGAGGGGGCGAGCGUUGUUCGGAAUUACUGGGCGUAAAGGGCGCGUAGGCGGCCUUCUAAGUCGAACGUGAAAUCCCCGGGCUCAACCCGGGAACUGCGUCCGAUACUGGGAGGCUUGAAUCCGGGAGAGGGAUGUGGAAUUCCAGGUGUAGCGGUGAAAUGCGUAGAUAUCUGGAGGAACACCGGUGGCGAAGGCGGCAUCCUGGACCGGUAUUGACGCUGAGGCGCGAAAGCUAGGGGAGCAAACGGG
This 253-nucleotide ribosomal RNA is filed under the name uncultured bacterium. RNAcentral describes it as "partial 16S ribosomal RNA". It matches the Rfam family "Bacterial small subunit ribosomal RNA", at positions 524 to 776 of the family's 1533-position model. The record is from RNAcentral.